This 253-nucleotide ribosomal RNA is filed under the name uncultured bacterium. Its description in RNAcentral is "partial 16S ribosomal RNA". It matches the Rfam family "Bacterial small subunit ribosomal RNA", at positions 524 to 776 of the family's 1533-position model. The record is from RNAcentral.
UACGGAGGGUGCAAGCGUUAUCCGGAUUCACUGGGUUUAAAGGGUGCGUAGGUGGCUUUGUAAGUCAGUGGUGAAAUGCCGGAGCUUAACUCCGGAACUGCCAUUGAUACUGCUUAGCUUGAAUCACGUCGAGGUGGAUGGAAUAUUACAUGUAGCGGUGAAAUGCUUAGAUAUGUAAUAGAACACCGAUUGCGAAGGCAGUUCACUAGGCGUGUAUUGACACUGAGGCACGAAAGCGUGGGGAGCGAACAGG